AGUGAUCUCAGCGGAUGUUUUAGAUAACUUGUGCGUCCUUGCUUAAACUGAUUGUGUUGUCUCAUUUUGGUAUUUCUUAUAUUUGCUGGCAUGUCCGCCACAACCACCGCCAACCCCGUUCGCCACCACCAUGUCCUCAGCUGACCGCGGGUGGGAAGGGACGCGGCAUGCCCGCCACCACCGCGGGUCCUUCGCCGAUCGCAUUAUGCUCGCCGCCCCACCCGUCCUCUGCGCCACCUCUCCGUCGUCUUCCGUUCGGGGGUGGCCGGGGUGGUCGCGGGUGAAGGGGCGGGGCUGGGGCUGGGGAUCCCCGUCGUCUUGGUCUUGCGCCAACUCGCGGAUCGGCGCCUUGGCAGCUUUGGAUGUGGUCGCCGCAGUACCUUCGCGCCUCGGCAGAAACUGCUCGUUGUGGCCCUCUCGAUGGAUGUUGCUCACCUGGGCAGACACAGAAUGCCCGCGUGGUCACAUGUUCGACAAGCCGUGAUGUUUGAGUGAGCUUAUUCAGCCUGGCAUGAACACCACGACCAGACACAUAGUCAAGUACCUCGCCGGCAAGGCCAAGGUGUAUGAGAAUAAGUCACAAUGACGCUUCAGAGGCGUGCGUCCUGGUGUUCGAGCCACCUCAAGCAGGGGACCUGGAACAACGGUACAUUUGUGCUGAGAGGACAAGGCACCAAGAGGUUAAUCCUAUUUCCAAUAUGUUAUUCAGAGGUCAAGGAUCCGGAGAUAUCCAGAGCAAAACCUUCAAGUACAGGCUGGGCAGAUUCUGAUCUAUUUUAUAUACCCAUCAACAGCUGGAGUCUCCGAAGCGGAAGAGCUUGCCUGUUACAAGGGUUUCCUGGUACUGUUAUUCAGUUAAACAAUAUGGUAACAAGUGGAAAUAUGUGUGAUGCUUUGUUGCUGGUUGGCUUAUAGAAUUUGAAUUUUAUAGCAAGAAGACUUAUCAAGUCAACCACUUCUACAAAAUGGAGGCAUAGUAGGCGGUGGGCUAUUUUGUUUCAAAGAGCUAUUCUAUGACGUGAUGUUCAGAGUGAGGGACAUGUGAAGUUUAAAGAGAUGAGUUCACCAUUCUUUUCAGCAAAAGGUUCAAUUCAUCCUAAGUUCACUGCUUCGUUCCUGCUUCCUGGCAACUCAUGGUCCCUUUUUCAUUCUAUAUGUCAGAUGUUUUCAAUGGUUGUGACUAUUGUUCACUCUUUAAGAUAGAAAGUGUUAUGCGGUGUGAAGAAUCUCCAUGAAUUCAUGUCGUUGUGUGCACAGUGGAUCCAAGCACAGUUAUCCUGUGGGUGUUUUAUCUUCAUAUUUACUAUCAAAAGGAUGAAGGACUUGGAACAUUUUAAGUGAACUGCAGGAGGGUGGGCGGAGGGUGCGCUCAGCGGUGCUCUGGUAAAUCCUGCUCGACGAGGAAGAGGGUUUGGCGUCGGGGACGGGAACCUGGCUGCGGCGUCGGAUGCAUGGCGCAGCUGGCGCAACUUCCUCUGGCCGCGCGGCGAGGCAGGGCCCAAACUCCAUGACAACUUUCUUCCUCGGCGGCAGAUGAACCAUGUUGUUCAUGAUGUGGAGAUGAACCCUGUCGUGUAUUUUAUCUAAUGGUUUCAAAUCAUGUUGUUCAUGAUGUGGAGAUGAACCUUGUUGGUCAUGUAAGUUAGAUGCCUGGAUUGUGAAUCCUUGAAUGUUUCAAAAUGUUGGUUUCAAACCUAGAUUUCUUGGAAAUAUUGGUUUUAAACA
Lolium perenne is the source of this 1725-nucleotide non-coding RNA. The record is from RefSeq and is a predicted model, not a curated record. Lineage: Eukaryota; Viridiplantae; Streptophyta; Magnoliopsida; Poales; Poaceae.